RNAcentral lists this long non-coding RNA (1012 nucleotides) under Arabidopsis thaliana (thale cress). RNAcentral's name for it is "ncRNA (AT3G29644)". Lineage: Eukaryota; Viridiplantae; Streptophyta; Magnoliopsida; Brassicales; Brassicaceae. The record is from RNAcentral.
AUCUCUCUUCCUCCUUUACUCGAUUAAAAAAAAAAAACAUUCAGCUCUUAAAAAAAAAAUUCCGGCGAAACUUACUCUCCACACUCGCCGGCGCAUUCUUUGCCAUCUCCGGGAUCAUCUCCGUUUUCGUCGUCGCCGGCGAUUUCUUUGCCUUCUCUGUGGUCGGCGCCAUCGUGUCCAAAGUCACUUGAAUCUUCUUCAAUCACCGUCGUGACCACUCAUCUCAACCUCCCUUCCUUCUCCGCCACCAAAACCGCCAAGCUUGACUCGAAUGUGUCGUCGUUAACAGAGAACAUCAGCCACUGAACAAUAUCUCUUCAUUGUUUUUUAUCUAUAUUAUAUCUGUGGUGUAGCUUCUUAAUGGAAACCGAUGAAGGCAUCACGAACAUUAAUAAGGAGUAUCCGAAGCGCUUAUUCAGACAUGGUAGAGAGCCUCUUGUUGGAAAAGUCAACAACUUCUGCAAAACAGCUCUCCUCAAGAGAAUCAAGAAAGCUAUGCCACUAGAGUAUAAGGAAGUGAAGAGUGAUCCUCUGUUUGCACAUGUCUUUGCCAUAUUUGAAAACCGUUUAGGAUACUCUGUUUGCAUAGCUUACUGUCUAGACAGUUGGUAACUAGGAAGAAACAUGAACUCUGGUUUGUGUUUGGAAACAAGCCUCUUCGAUUUUCUAUGCAAAUACCAUGAGAUGCCAAUGGAUAGAUUUUUUCAAGCGAUUUAGUGAUCGAGAAAUGCCUAUCUGACACAAAAGCUAAGUCUUCUUCAUCCGCUAUGAGUUUCUUAAGUUGUAUAAAAAACCAUUGCCAUGAAGAAUCAUUCUCGGAAUCAGCAACUCCAAAUGCAAUUGGAUACAAAUUGGAGUUACCAUCUACUGCUGUAGCUACCAACAUAACUCCUUUGUAUUUGCUUUUCAAAAACGUACCGUCAACCACAAUCACUUUCCGAAUAGGCUUGUAAAACCCUCUAAUAGACUGACCGAAAGAUAUAAAUAGAUAUUUGAAUCUAUUCUCACCAUC